GACUCAUCUGUUAGAUAUAUCCUUGGAUAAUUUAUUCAGAAUUUAUUUAUUUUAAUAUAAACAGUUAAUUGUUUAAUAUUUUACACACAGCAAAUUUUCACUUUUAUAUUCAAAGAUACUCUCUGUACAUAUCACUGCUCGGCUCUUAUAUGAAAGCACUGAAAAAAUAAAUCAAGUGAGUAUAUUCUCUAUUUUCUUUUUCAAAACCAUGGCACAUGUUGAUCCUUUAUUUUAAAACAAGAGGCUUUUUUAUAUAUAAAAACCCAACAAUCAAAAACUGUGUUCUGUGAUCAUAUACACACAUAAACUGGGAAGAAGUUGACUGGCUUCUAAGGCAACAUUUUUUUUGCUAUGCCUACAAGAAGAGCAGAAAUCCUCUCGGAGGGUCAAAUCUGCUCCUCCUCUCCUCCCUUCAAAGGCGCAAAGCACUGGCACAUUCAUGUGCUCAACCACAGGGAUGCUAGUUCAAACUUCUCCAUGUCAGGAUAUCCAGUUGGACGAUAUAAAAUUUCCUAGAAAUGCUUGUUUUAGGAUUUUAAGACAACUCAUCAGUUUUUAAUUUCCCAUUUCCUCUCCCCCCCCCCCCCACAAUCAAUAAAGCAAUUUUGUAGGUGAGAUGAUCACUCUCAAAUGACCGGUGAACAAUGUUUUGCUUCCAAAAAGAAAAAUCUAGAAGCACUUCAGGAUGAAAUAGGGAAAUGAAAAAGAGAAAAUCCCUGGAGACCACCCUCGUUCUUCCAUGCCAACUAAUUGGGGAAAACAGAUGGACUAAAAUAAGAAGAGCUACACACCAUCUCUGCUAGCCCACAAGGCUUAGUUGCAAAACACUGACAGAUUCAAAAGUUUAAGGUUUUAACACAGAUUGAAACCCAAACUCCUAAAAUUUGCUUUUUUUUUUAAUAAUGAUAACACGAUCCUUUUUGUGUUUUUUUUUUCAUAAAAAUUCACAUUAUAAGGAAAAAUUAAAAGCUUAUGUAAAACGCAGGAAAACUAAGAUAAAGAAAGCUUCUGGUGAGGUCCUUUUUCAGCAGAUGAACAGAUUCAUCUUGCACUGAAGAGCACUUGAAAUGUGAAGUUGGAACUUCAGAGAUAUGAACGACUAAGAGGGAACCCAGACUUAUGUUAUGGAUCAGACUGGGGGAAAGGCCUGGGCAGGCAACAAAAAGGCUAAAGUGCACUGGAGGGUGGAGAGACAUUGUCUGAAAACUAAAUUCAGAAGCUUCUGAACUUCAAAACAUAGAAGUACUUACAAACACAUAAUUUAUGCGGAUGGGGACGGAGAUACACAAUCUACACUGAUGGAGAAACAAACAAAGAUAGCAUUGGCACACAUGUAGAAAGAUUACACCCUUUCUAACAGGUAAACUUUAAAGAUAUGCCAUCCUUCUCUGCUUCCCUUUUUAAAAUUCAUCUUCUAGCAGUCUUUGGCUCUACAGCAGUGAUUUUAAAAGUGGGCAAGAUAAGUUCUUACCGGACUGCAGUAUAGACCCUCCAAGCCCUCUAUCCUCCAGAAGUAACUGUAGAGCAUCAGUUGUUUUGGGACCAGCAAGGCUGCCUUUCCUUGGAGGUUACCAACUCGGGCACUGGUUGACACUGAUAGAACAAGAUGCUGGAACAGAUAAAGCUAGAAAAAUCCUACUCUCUUCCACACAGUUCUUCCACAGAAGCUUGACUGGAAAUCUGAGGAAGGUGCCUGCAUUGCUUCUGUUCAUUUUAUGCAAAGGUGUGCAAGUGAAUUGGGGGUGGACAGGGUACCACUGGAUAUUUACUCUCUGGCACUGUGCUUACUAAGCAGAAAUGGUAGGAGAAAGCCAAGGGAAAAAAACACAACCAUUGACUCAAAGACUGUGUGUGGAGGUUCCAGAACUCUGCACACAAUCCACUUUGCUCCAUGUAAGCAGAAGGAGCGGUUUUGAUUUUUUUUUUUUCUCUCCCUUAGCUAGGACGUUUUCUAGUUGACAGAUUAAGUAGCUCUUCUCUGGUCCGGGCACAUACUGAAAUGACCCCCACAAAUUGGGAAGGGGAAGAGUAACAGAGUCCAGUAAAAUGUAGGCAGGCUUCAUGUAACUUUCAGAGCUAAGAGACCUCCGUCAGAGCUGCUAAGGCUUGAUUUCACCAUUGGUGACCAACUGUUUCAGAAUUUGCAUCACGGUGAGUUGUGAAAUGUUUUGAAAAAUUAAUAUGCACAUGCCACUCUAUUAUUUGAACAUUAAAGCACAGGUUUGUGCACUAUAUCUCCUAGCGCUUAACUUGCUAGAAUCAGUUUACACACUUAAGGCCCCUUAAAGACCAAACAAGCAAGCUCCUCCUCUUUUCCCCUCCAUAGGGCAAAAGCUAAACAAACAAACAAACAAAAAUCAAGGAAGGUGUCAAUAAUUUAUAUGGUGGUUCACUAUCUAUGAUUUAAAUAUGUCACAACAAACAUAUACACUUAAUGCUAACCAGACAGAGCUCCAGAGUCAUGAGGCAGGUCGGUAAGACGAAGGGGAGAGAAUUUGGCUUUGUUUUGCCUUGUUUAGUCUUGUAAUGUCUCACAAAAUCCUAAACAGAAUAUUGGCUACCACUUUGGCUACCUCGUUUCGCUGAAUGGCAGAGGAGAUGCAAUCCCCCAAAGAGUUUCUUCAGUAUAAAAAUAAUGUAUUCAAAAUUCAUUCGUGUCAGGGGAAUUUGGGCCAGGCAGGAAGGACAGGGACACCCUCUCACCUCUGUGGUUAGAUAAAACUAUUAUGUACAAAAGGACUUAUCCAUUUUCACCUGUACCUCCAUACACACACACACAUACACAUUCAGGGCACACAUACUAGUUAAUCCAUUAAGAAGAAAAGCAGCAGCUGUUGGUCAAAUCAAAGGAAAAAGACAGACCACAUUCCACACAUCCUGAAGAUCCUUCAGUCUUUUUUUAAAAAAUGCUAAAAUCACAAAAGAGGUUCUCCAGAGAGGCUGGCAAAAGAGAAGAGCUUCAGGUUCGGCUUGGGAACGAUCCAGUCCAAGGCUCCCUUCCCUGCAGUAGUAGAGAGAACCCGCAGUUCCUCCGCUCAAUACAAGGGGUAGACAGAAGUUCUCUUUUCCAACUUUGUUGUGUGAAAUCACUUCCUACCUCAAAAUCAGAGUUGCACGAGAGGAGAUCAGCAGCCACAGAAUUGUCCAUUUGUUUCACAGAUAAAGUCCGCUGACAGCAAGUGAAUUGUUGCACCAAAAAAA
Molecule: long non-coding RNA, 3201 nt
Organism: Crotalus tigris (Tiger rattlesnake)
Lineage: Eukaryota; Metazoa; Chordata; Lepidosauria; Squamata; Viperidae
Exons: 2
Source: RefSeq, a predicted model, not a curated record